GGAGUCGGCCAGACAGUCGCCGGGAUUGUAUCCCGGAGGAAAGUCCGGGCUCCACAGGGCAGGGUGCCAGGUAACACCUGGGGGGCGCGAGCCUACGGCCAGUGCAACAGAAAGUAUACCGCCAGCUUCGGCUGGUAAGGGUGAAAUGGUGCGGUAAGAGCGCACCGCGCCGGUGGUAACACGCGGCGGCAUGGUAAACCCCACCCGGAGCAAGACCAAAUAGGGGAACGUCAAGUGUGGCCCGCACGGUUCCCGGGUAGGUCGCUUGAGACAUGCGGUGACGCAUGAUCCAGAUGAAUGACUGUCCACGACAGAACCCGGCUUAUCGGCCGGCUCCACCU
RNAcentral lists this RNase P RNA (341 nucleotides) under Gammaproteobacteria bacterium. RNAcentral describes it as "RNase P RNA component class A". It matches the Rfam family "Bacterial RNase P class A". From Rfam's summary of the family: Ribonuclease P (RNase P) is a ubiquitous endoribonuclease, found in archaea, bacteria and eukarya as well as chloroplasts and mitochondria. Its best characterised activity is the generation of mature 5'-ends of tRNAs by cleaving the 5'-leader elements of precursor-tRNAs. Cellular RNase Ps are ribonucleoproteins. Lineage: Bacteria; Pseudomonadati; Pseudomonadota; Gammaproteobacteria. The record is from RNAcentral.